UACCAGACUCCUACGGGAGGCAGCAGUGGGGGAUAUUGCACAAUGGGGGGAACCCUGAUGCAGCGACGCCGCGUGAGCGAUGAAGUAUUUCGGUAUGUAAAGCUCUAUCAGCAGGGAAGAAAAUGACGGUACCUGACUAAGAAGCCCCGGCUAACUACGUGCCAGCAGCCGCGGUAAUACGUAGGGGGCAAGCGUUAUCCGGAUUUACUGGGUGUAAAGGGAGCGUAGACGGCUGUGCAAGUCUGAAGUGAAAGCCCAAGGCUCAACCAUGGGACUGCUUUUGAAACUGGCAAACUAGAGUACGGGAGAGGUAAGAGGAAUUCCUAGUGUAGCGGUGAAAUGCGUAGAUAUUAGGAGGAACACCAGUGGCGAAGGCGUCUUACUGGACCGAAACUGACGUUGAGGCUCGAAAGCGUGGGGAGCAAACAGGAUUAGAUACCCCCGUAGG
Molecule: ribosomal RNA, 448 nt
Filed under: uncultured bacterium
Lineage: Bacteria
Description: bacterial SSU rRNA
Rfam family: Bacterial small subunit ribosomal RNA
Source: RNAcentral